This 250-nucleotide ribosomal RNA is filed under the name uncultured bacterium. RNAcentral describes it as "partial 16S ribosomal RNA". It matches the Rfam family "Bacterial small subunit ribosomal RNA", at positions 524 to 776 of the family's 1533-position model. The record is from RNAcentral.
UACGUAGGGGGCAAGCGUUGUCCGGAAUCAUUGGGCGUAAAGAGCGUGUAGGCGGCCAGAUAAGUCCGCUGUGAAAUCUCGAGGCUCAACUUCGAGCUGUCGGUGGAAACUGUCUGGCUAGAGUCCGGAAGAGGAGAAUGGAAUUCCUGGUGUAGCGGUGAAAUGCGCAGAUAUCAGGAAGACCAGUGGCGAAGGCGGGUCUCUGGACAGUUCCUGACACUGAGACACGAAGGCCAGGGGAGCAAACGGG